GAAAUGCGAUAAGUAGUGUGAAUUGCAGAAUUCAGUGAAUCAUCGAAUCUUUGAACGCACAUUGCGCCCUUUGGUAUUCCUUAGGGCAUGCCUGUUCGAGCGUCAUCUAAACCUUCAAGCCCUGCUUGGUGUUGGGUGCCUGUCCCGCCUCCGCGCUCGGACUCACCUCAAAUCCAUUGGCGGCCCCCGCGUCGGCCACGAGCGCAGCAGAAACGCGAACUCGUGAGCCCGUCCGGGCGGCUCCCAGAAGCUACACCCACCCAGUUUGACCUCGGAUCAGGUAGGGAUACCCGCUGAACUUAAGC
RNAcentral lists this unclassified non-coding RNA (305 nucleotides) under plant metagenome. RNAcentral's name for it is "partial contains 5.8S ribosomal RNA, internal transcribed spacer 2, and large subunit ribosomal RNA". The stretch from base 1 to 105 matches the Rfam family "5.8S ribosomal RNA", at positions 50 to 154 of the family's 154-position model. The record is from RNAcentral.